CACGUCUCCGGGCCGCAGCACGCAAUCCUGGUAUGGAGCCUUGGAGAACUCUGGGAAGCGCUUCGUGUCGGGGUUCUCCACCUCCACCUGGGCCGAAAGAAAAAAAGGAAGCCUCCUGCUUUCGAGUUACCUGUGCCAGGAAGUUGUGCUGGGGAUCCUGGUGGAGGGGCGAGACAGUGCCGGCGGGCCCGAACCAAGCAUUGACCGUCACGUCCUCCUCGUCGCCGUCACCCAAGCAGCAGUAAUCAGGCAAGCGAAUGUCAUCCUUCAACUCUGGUAUCUGUGGCAACGGCAAAAUUAUUCUAACAUACAAC
Long non-coding RNA from Syngnathus acus (greater pipefish), 314 nucleotides. RefSeq lists it as uncharacterized. The transcript is spliced from 2 exons. The record is from RefSeq and is a predicted model, not a curated record. Lineage: Eukaryota; Metazoa; Chordata; Actinopteri; Syngnathiformes; Syngnathidae.